UAUAUAUAAUAUAGUAAUCUAUAUAAUCUGUCACCGACAAUGCGUGACUCUGCUUUCCCCUCUUUUUCUCUACCCUUAUUAGCCAAUAAAUCUUUCUCUAGCUCUUCACCAUUCGCUCAAUACUUAAUCAUUUUUCUUUUUUUUUCAAAUUCUCAAUAAAAUUGGUUACAGCUCAGAUGUAAGUAAGAUUCUUCUUAUUAUUAUUUAAGUAAUUUCUUUUAGUUUAUAAUUAACAUUUUUUUUAAAAUAUCGAUUUGAACAACAUUAUAAUGUAUCUUUUACCUGACCUAUAGACAAAUACAUUCUGGUCAAGCAAGCACCAGUGCAGACUACAUUAACGUCUAUAAUAAUGAUUACUCCUUGGACCACGAAGAACUAAGCAGACGACAGUACCAAGAACCUCAAGAAGACAUUGAACAAGUCUAUUUCGAAAUUGAAAAUGAUUCCAGUACCAACAAUUAUAUUGAGCCACUUGCAAGUGAUGUCAAUAGACAAUGUGAUGACCAAAACACUGAAGUAAAAGGUUAUAUUCAAAUUUCGGAUCAUGAUUACGCAGCGAAAAAACUAGAUUCAAACAAAAUCGGAAAGAAUGGAACACUAAAAGCAAAGGGAGACAACCAACAAUUAUCUGAGUCUUACAGUUCCAUACAAAAGUGUCCGGAUGACCCUAGCAGUCUAACUCUGCUCAAAGUGACUGAAAAUGCUUCCGGAAGUACUUAUGACUUACUGGAAAGAAAUGUCGAGAAUCACAUUUACGUGGUCACGUGCCCAGGAGAUAGACAGGAAGAAACUUUAGUCAAAAAUGUCUAGACUAUGAAGUCUUUGUACAACAUUAGCUUGGUUGUUCUCUAAGUCUUGUGUCAGAGUUGAAGGUCGGAUGAUGAGACAGGUCAAAUUAAAAAAAAAAUAAAGAAAAGAUAGAAGUGGAAAUGUUUUUAAGUAAACAAAUUAUUUCUGUUGAAUUAGCCAAAGGAAUCUUAAGAUUGACUUUGGCGAAU
Molecule: long non-coding RNA, 998 nt
Organism: Biomphalaria glabrata
Lineage: Eukaryota; Metazoa; Mollusca; Gastropoda; Planorbidae
Exons: 5
Source: RefSeq, a predicted model, not a curated record